RNAcentral lists this ribosomal RNA (425 nucleotides) under uncultured Methylocystis sp. RNAcentral describes it as "bacterial SSU rRNA". It matches the Rfam family "Bacterial small subunit ribosomal RNA", at positions 39 to 510 of the family's 1533-position model. Lineage: Bacteria; Pseudomonadati; Pseudomonadota; Alphaproteobacteria; Hyphomicrobiales; Methylocystaceae. The record is from RNAcentral.
GCGGCAGGCCUAACACAUGCAAGUCGAACGCUGUAGCAAUACAGAGUGGCAGACGGGUGAGUAACGCGUGGGAACAUGCCCUUCGGUUCGGAAUAACUCAGGGAAACUUGAGCUAAUACCGGAUACGCCCUUAGGGGGAAAGAUUUAUUGCCGAAGGAUUGGCCCGCGUCCGAUUAGCUAGUUGGUGAGGUAAUGGCUCACCAAGGCGACGAUCGGUAGCUGGUCUGAGAGGAUGAUCAGCCACACUGGGACUGAGACACGGCCCAGACUCCUACGGGAGGCAGCAGUGGGGAAUAUUGGACAAUGGGCGCAAGCCUGACCCAGCCAUGCCGCGUGAGUGAUGAAGGCCCUAGGGUUGUAAAGCUCUUUCGCCAGGGACGAUAAUGACGGUACCUGGAUAAGAAGCCCCGGCUAACUUCGUGCCA